This 1513-nucleotide ribosomal RNA is filed under the name uncultured Chloroflexota bacterium. Its description in RNAcentral is "bacterial SSU rRNA". It matches the Rfam family "Bacterial small subunit ribosomal RNA". The record is from RNAcentral. Lineage: Bacteria; Bacillati; Chloroflexota.
AGAGUUUGAUCAUGGCUCAGGAUGAACGCUAGCGGCGUGCCUAAUGCAUGCAAGUCGAACGGUAGCCAUAGAACCUAGUUUUGUGGCGAGAGUGGCGGACGGGUGAGUAACACGUUGGUGACCUGCCCCGGAGAGGGGGAUAACUGCUGGAAACGGCGGCUAAUACCGCGGACGUCGUCGUGGUUAGAGAGCGAUGACUGAAGGGGAGGAGGCGUCAAGCCUUCUUCGCACUCCGGGAGGGGCCUGCGGCCCAUCAGCUAGUUGGUGGGGUAAAAGCCUACCAAGGCCGAGACGGGUAAAGGGCGUGAGAGCGCAACCCCCCACACUGAUACUGAAACACGGACCAGAUACCUGCGGGUAGCAGCAGCAAGGGAUAUUGCGCAAUGGGGGCAACCCUGACGCAGCAACGCCGCGUGGAGGAAGAAGUCCUUCGGGAUGUAAACUCCUUUUCUGGGGGAAGAAGGCCGGCCACGAGGUCGGCAAGACGGUACCCUAGGAAGAAGGCCCGGCUAACUACGUGCCAGCAGCCGCGGUAAAACGUAGGGGUCGAGCGUUAUCCGGAAUUACUGGGCGUAAAGCGCGUGCAGGCGGCUGAGGAAGUCGGACGUGAAAGCUCCUGGCUCAACUGGGAGAAACCGUUCGAAACUCUUUGGCUAGAGGACGGUAGAGGCGAGUGGAAUUCCCGGUGUAGUGGUGAAAUGCGUAGAUAUCGGGAGGAACACCAGAGGCGAAAGCGGCUCGCUGGGCCGAUUCUGACGCUGAGACGCGAAAGCUAGGGGAGAGAACGGGAUUAGAAACCCCGGUAUUCCUAGCCGUAAACGAUGUCAACUAGGUGUAGGGGGUGUAGAAGCCUUCUGCGCUGCCGCCAACGCAGUAAGUUGACCGCCUGGGGAGUACGGCCGCAAGGCUAAAACUCAAAGGAAUUGACGGGGGCCCGCACAAGCAGCGGAGCGUGUGGUUUAAUUCGAGGCAACGCGAAGAACCUUACCAGGGUUUGACAUGCUGGUGGUAGAGAGGUGAAAGCCGACUGACCCUUCGGGGAGCCAGCACAGGUGCUGCAUGGCUGUCGUCAGCUCGUGCCGUGAGGUGUUAGGUUAAGUCCUGUAACGAGCGCAACCCACGUCGUUAGUUAUACGUGUCUAGCGAGACAGCCGGUGAUAAGCCGGAGGAAGGUGUGGAUGACGUCAAGUCAGCAUGGCCUUUAUAUCCUGGGCGACACACACGCUACAAUGGCCGGUACAAUGGGCAGCGAAGUCGCGAGGCGGAGCCAAUCCCGCAAAGCCGGUCUCAGUUCGGAUUGCAGGCUGCAACUCGCCUGCAUGAAGUCGGAGUUGCUAGUAACCGCAGGUCAGCCACACUGCGGUAAAUACGUUCCCGGGCCUUGUACACACCGCCCGUCACGUCAUGGGAGUUGGCAACGCCUGAAGUCGGUGGGCUAACGGCGCUUCGGCGUCGGAGCAGCCGCCUAAGACGGGGUCGGUAACUGGGACGAAGUCGUAACAAGGUAGCCGUA